CCCACACUCUGUAACGGAUUCCACAAGGCUCCACCACUCUCAGGCAAGUCAUGACAACGGACACCACUCCACUCUCCGUAACAAACUCCACGUGGCCCUGAACGGCCCCUAGCGCCACUACUCUCCAUAACAAACUCCGCGUGGCUCUGAAUGGCCCACUACCAGGCGGUUACAGACGUCGCUGUCAAUCAGUUACACUCUCUGUCUAUAA
Molecule: long non-coding RNA, 211 nt
Filed under: Elaeis guineensis (African oil palm)
Lineage: Eukaryota; Viridiplantae; Streptophyta; Magnoliopsida; Arecales; Arecaceae
Description: long non-coding RNA (EGUI_LNC061894)
Source: RNAcentral